GGACGAACGCUGGCGGCGUGCCUAACACAUGCAAGUCGAGCGAGGAGAUUCCUUCGGGAUGAUCCUAGCGGCGGACGGGUGAGUAACACGUGGGCAACCUGCCUCGUAGAGAGGAAUAGCCUUCCGAAAGGAGAUUAAUACCUCAUAACAUUGCAGUUUCGCAUGGAACAGCAAUUAAAGGAGUAAUCCGCUAUGAGAUGGGCCCGCGGCGCAUUAGCUAGUUGGUGAGGUAACGGCUCACCAAGGCGACGAUGCGUAGCCGACCUGAGAGGGUGAUCGGCCACAUUGGGACUGAGACACGGCCCAGACUCCUACGGGAGGCAGCAGUGGGGAAUAUUGCACAAUGGGGGAAACCCUGAUGCCAGCAACGCCGCGUGAGUGAUGACGGCCUUCGGGUUGUAAAGCUCUGUCUUCAGGGACGAUAAUGACGGUACCUGAGGAGGAAGCCACGGCUAACUACGUGCCAGCCGCCGC
This 474-nucleotide ribosomal RNA is filed under the name uncultured bacterium. RNAcentral describes it as "bacterial SSU rRNA". It matches the Rfam family "Bacterial small subunit ribosomal RNA", at positions 27 to 518 of the family's 1533-position model. The record is from RNAcentral.